Long non-coding RNA from Macadamia integrifolia, 1889 nucleotides. RefSeq lists it as uncharacterized. The transcript has 2 exons. NCBI's taxonomy places the organism in Eukaryota, Viridiplantae, Streptophyta, Magnoliopsida, Proteales, Proteaceae. The record is from RefSeq and is a predicted model, not a curated record.
GGGUAUUGUAUCCUUGGGAGUUUAUUUGAUGGUAUUAUUUCUUUGUUUCUUGCUCCUAUUUGUAUUGUUUGGGGUUAUAAACUGCUGGCGUAUUCUUGUAAUCUACUCCUGCAUUAGUCAAUUCUCAGAUUUCAAGAUUUUCUGGACAGAAGUUUGAAGCCUGGUUCUUCCAACUCUGAGAUCAGAUAUGAGCAAGCUUUUGGGGGUUUGUUCUAGUUCUACACCACAAGAGUGACCUACGACUAGAAAGUUGAGUCCAUCUAAGGCCUGUUGUUGCUGCUACUGGAAAACACCCCAAAAGUUUCCUUUUUCAUGCCAUUAGCGUAACUCUCAAUCCACCUAACAGAAUUUGACCAAAUUUUGAUGGUUUAUUCACCUAUAUAAGACCUCCAAUCGGUCCAAAUUUCAGGCUCAACUGAGCGCUAUUUUGUGAGUUACAGGUUACUCAAGUUUUGGCCUAAUCUGUGUUUUCUUUCUCAGUUAUACUCGCUGUCCAUAUCUGAGUCUAGAAUUUGCCUAUUAUUAGUCUUAUCUAUGUUUGAUUACAUCUGUAAUCUUCCUUACAUUAAUUGUCAUAGCCAAUGUAUCCCUAGAUUACAUGUAGUUGUUAAUCUUAAGAAGUCUCUUUUGACUAGUUACUUGUUUGGGUUCAAUUUUUAUUGAUCAUUUUAUAAGCUUCUGCUAGCCCAAACCCUACAUGGUGGGCCUUAACCUGCUGGUUUGUUGUAUAUCUGGGAUUCAUCCUGCAUCAAUUAGUCAAUUGCAUAUUAGCGUGCAUAGGUUCAUUUUGUGAAGAAAUCACUAGAAGAAGAAAAGGGAAAGAAGAGAGAGAGAAAUACGUUAGGAAAUUUACCUGGAAAACUGCUUUUGGUUUUGUACUUUCUAAAACUUGGUUAAUGAAUGAGUUCGGUUUGGAUGACUACUUGGCUUUUACCCUCUCAAUCUGAUUGACCUGACACGAGCUCACUAAAGAACCCAUCAGCCAUGCAUAUAAUGGACCUGCAAAAUCCACAUUGUGGUUGGCAUGUUGAAUUCGAUUAGCGCCUUAGCUGUUAUUCUUAGGCCAAUCUGCCAACCUGCCCUCAUCCCAUCCCUGGACGUAAUUUCAUAGAUUUGGAUUUGAGAUGCAAAAACUUACGUAUAUUGCACAUUGUUACAUGUAUAUUGCACAUUGUUACAUGGAUAAGAAAGAUAAUUGUGUACACAAAUUGUAGGAAUGGAAGUUGAUGUCAAACCAUUUCUCAUUUGCCAUUUUUUUGAGCAUAUGAAUGAAUAGAAAAAAAUUCUUUGUUAGGCCAGAAAAGUCAUAUCAGACCUCUUCACACUUUGUCCGGAUGCCAAGACUGCAACAGAGGCUCCGAGAGAGGAGAUAGAAAAGCUGAUUCAAACUCUUGGAUUGCAAAGGAAAAGAGCUAUCAUGAUUCAACGCUUCUCUAAGGAGUAUCUGGAAGAUGGCUGGACACACGUUACCCAGCUGCAUGGUGUUGGCAAGUAUGCAGCUGAUGCAUACGCUAUAUUCUGUACAGGGAAGUGGGAAGGGUGAUACCCACUGAUCACAUGCUAACUAAAUAUUGGGAGCUUCUCCACAAGAUUCAAAACUCUUGAACUAUAUAUAUAUAUAUAUAUAUAUAUAUUAUUUUUUUAUUUUUUUUGAAGAGGACACUCAUGUCCAUUAUCUUUUUAGUAGUGGGGUUCAUCGCAUUCUGUAUAUUGAAUUACUGAAUUGACAAAGACACAUAUUGUAUGCAUUUCGAAUCACUGAGCUAUCUAAUGUUCCCUUGUUUAAUCUUGUUACUGUAGGCAAAAUUUAAUGGUGUAUUUACAGCGGCUACAGUCUGGGAAUACUUGGAAAGUUUGAUUGAAAUUUAUGGCUUCUGCUAUUAUUAUUA